Molecule: ribosomal RNA, 630 nt
Filed under: uncultured archaeon
Lineage: Archaea
Description: bacterial SSU rRNA
Rfam family: Archaeal small subunit ribosomal RNA
Source: RNAcentral
ACUGCUCAGUAACACGUAGUCAACAUGCCCAGGGGACGUGGAUAACCUCGGGAAACUGAGGAUAAACCGCGAUAGGCCAAGAUUUCUGGAAUGAAUCAUGGUUUAAAUCUAUAUGGCCCCUGGAUUGGACUGCGGCCGAUCAGGCUGUUGGUGAGGUAAUGGCCCACCAAACCUGUAACCGGUACGGGCUCUGAGAGGAGGAGCCCGGAGAUGGGCACUUAGACAAGGGCCCAGGCCCUAUGGGGCGCAGCAGGCGCGAAACCUCUGCAAUAAGCGAAAGCUUGACAGGGUUACUCUGAGUGAUUUCCGCUAAGGAAGUCUUUUGGCACCUCUAAAAAUGGUGCAGAAUAAGGGGUGGGCAAGUCUGGUGUCAGCCGCCGCGGUAAUACCAGCACCCCGAGUGGUCGGGACGAUUAUUGGGCCUAAAGCAUCCGUAGCCGGUCCUGCAAGUCCUCCGUUAAAUCCACCCGCUCAACGGUUGGGCCGCGGGGGAUACUACAGGGCUAGGAGGCGGGAGAGGCAAGCGGUACUCGAUGGGUAGGGGUAAAAUCCACUGAUCCAUUGAAGACCACCAGUGGCGAAGGCGGCUUGCCAGAACGCGCUCGACGGUGAGGAAUUGGCGGGGGAGCA